Molecule: unclassified non-coding RNA, 175 nt
Filed under: uncultured fungus
Lineage: Eukaryota; Fungi
Description: partial contains 18S rRNA, ITS1, 5.8S rRNA, ITS2 and 28S rRNA
Source: RNAcentral
AAGGAUCAUUAUCAUAGGGCUUAUACUCUUUGAGAUAGAACCCCUUGUUUAUUUAGUACCUUAAUGUUUCCUAAGCAAGAUUUAACUUGCUAAAGGACCCUAUAAAACCUUUUGUGGCUGUAAACAUCUGAAAAUUAAUAUAUUACAACUUUCAACAAUGGAUCUCUUGGCUCUG